Molecule: unclassified non-coding RNA, 513 nt
Filed under: Hevea brasiliensis (rubber tree)
Lineage: Eukaryota; Viridiplantae; Streptophyta; Magnoliopsida; Malpighiales; Euphorbiaceae
Source: RNAcentral
CAGAGAGAGAGAGAGAGAAAAGAAUCAUUCUAGCAAAGGAUCGAUCCAGGAGCCAUGUUCACCUGCCAUGCCACUCUAGUGACAUAAUUAUUUUAACACACGUCUAGUCGAAGGGGUCAAUCCUCGGGUCGUGUUCGCUAGCCAUAGCCAUUCCAGUGCAAAGGCAUGUGGGGCACAUCACCUUUCCAGAUCCUGAACAAUUCGAACAUCUUUCUGUUUUGGGUGCUGACAGUGGCUGAUCUCCACUAUUGACCGUUGAAACUGGUUCAAUAAGAACAAGCGCUCCAGUGCUUGAGCAACGAGCACAAGCGAGAUACCCAGUUCCAAGACAAUAUUUGCAUCUUUUAUGUUCCUGUUGUUUUACAUUGUUUAUCUCGACUACCAUCAAGGCUGAGAUCACACCAACAGCUCCUCCAGAGAAUGAAGCCACUAUAGGAUCAACCUGACUUAAUUGCAUAGGUAAAUGGGCACUAUGGAUAAAAUCUGCAUAUGACGUCCCCCCUAAUCCGAGCU